This is a transfer RNA of Hyphopichia burtonii NRRL Y-1933, 82 nucleotides long. It matches the Rfam family "tRNA". Rfam says of the family: Transfer RNA (tRNA) molecules are approximately 80 nucleotides in length. Their secondary structure includes four short double-helical elements and three loops (D, anti-codon, and T loops). NCBI's taxonomy places the organism in Eukaryota, Fungi, Ascomycota, Pichiomycetes, Serinales, Debaryomycetaceae. The record is from Rfam.
GGUGUAGUGGCCGAGUGGUUAAGGCGUCGGGUGCAGGUCCCGAUGGGUUUUACCCGCGCAGGUUCAAGUCCUGUCUGCACCG